This 984-nucleotide long non-coding RNA is filed under the name Chrysolophus pictus (golden pheasant). RNAcentral describes it as "lncRNA (ENSCPIG00010005699.1)". Lineage: Eukaryota; Metazoa; Chordata; Aves; Galliformes; Phasianidae. The record is from RNAcentral.
AGUCCCUCUGCUUUGGAGUACCACAGCCCCAAGCGUUUCCUCCCAUCCCUGAUUGCUGAGGAUGACACCUUGUUCACCAGCAUGGCCGAAGAAAAGGAGGACUCAUCUUCCACAGAGCUGGACGUCCCAGCAGCAGACUUACACAGCAGCACAGAGGAUCUCCUCUCAGACUCCGCUCUGCACGGCACAGAGUAUUACAAAGAUCUGGGGCUUCUGAGCCCGCCCGCUGACAAAACAGUGCCAGAGAUGGCAGCACGACCAGAAGCAGCCCCCCAGGCCGCAUCUGCCAGUUGCUUAUUGGAGGAGAGAUCAGGGGCUCUGGGGAAAAUGUCUGUGGAUGUUGCUUUUUCCAAUCCCAUCUCCUGCUCAGUGCGUUACGGUGAGGCCGACUGCCACUUUCUGAACAAAGCUGCCAGCACUGUUGCAUGUCCUGGGGAGGAAGAUGAAGCUUUGGACCUUCAGGAGGCCUCAGAGUCCUUCCCCACACUGGUGAGAUCCAUGUCUACCUCGAGGAGGCACAGCUGGGAGAGCCCCUUGUCACCUGUGGACUGCAAGCGCAGGUUCAGCUUGGAUACCACAGAGAGAGGCAGUGAUCCAGAGCAGGAGGAGGCGGAGAAAGGGAGCGGAUCCUGCACACAGCCUCGUGUGUCCCUGCAGCUGCCCAGGGGGAAGCAGGGAGCCUGGAACAGCAGUGCAGGCAGCAUGGUGAUCAAAGUGCAGAUAGAACCGCUGCAAGCCAGCGGCACAGCCAGCCUGGGCUCAGGGGAGACGGAACGUGUCAGUGAUGGAAAGAGACUGAGGCCACUGUCUAUCCCUUCAGCCUGCAAAGCUACCUCCCCCCAGGCAUCCUGUGGUUUCAACACUUCUCUUUCAGCCAUGGAAGGUGUUGAACCCCCUGCUCUGGAGAUGCUGGAGAAGGAUCAUGUGUCCCCAGACCAAGUGCUAAUAGUACAGCAGGUACUUCAGGAGCUGAAACAGUAUCAU